GAAGCCUGAUGCAGCAACGCCGCGUGAGGGAUGACGGCCUUCGGGUUGUAAACCUCUUUUAGCAGGGAAGAAGCGAAAGUGACGGUACCUGCAGAAAAAGCGCCGGCUAACUACGUGCCAGCAGCCGCGGUAAUACGUAGGGCGCAAGCGUUAUCCGGAAUUAUUGGGCGUAAAGAGCUCGUAGGCGGUUUGUCGCGUCUGCUGUGAAAUCCCGAGGCUCAACCUCGGGCCUGCAGUGGGUACGGGCAGACUAGAGUGCGGUAGGGGAGAUUGGAAUUCCUGGUGUAGCGGUGGAAUGCGCAGAUAUCAGGAGGAACACCGAUGGCGAAGGCAGAUCUCUGGGCCGUAACUGACGCUGAGGAGCGAAAGGGUGGGGAGCAAACAGGCUUAGAUACCCUGGUAGUCCACCCCGUAAACGUUGGGAACUAGUUGUGGGGUCCAUUCCACGGAUUCCGUGACGCAGCUAACGCAUUAAGUUCCCCGCCUGGGGAGUACGGCCGCAAGGCUAAAACUCAAAGGAAUUGACGGAUU
This 531-nucleotide ribosomal RNA is filed under the name uncultured Microbacterium sp. RNAcentral's name for it is "bacterial SSU rRNA". It matches the Rfam family "Bacterial small subunit ribosomal RNA", at positions 378 to 919 of the family's 1533-position model. The record is from RNAcentral. Lineage: Bacteria; Bacillati; Actinomycetota; Actinomycetes; Micrococcales; Microbacteriaceae.